Molecule: long non-coding RNA, 521 nt
Organism: Dioscorea cayenensis subsp. rotundata (Guinea yam)
Lineage: Eukaryota; Viridiplantae; Streptophyta; Magnoliopsida; Dioscoreales; Dioscoreaceae
Exons: 2
Source: RefSeq, a predicted model, not a curated record
AGCUCUUGGCCGAAAAGUUUCCAUUGUUUUAAUAAACCCCUCCGAUGUGGUGCUCUCCGUCAGGCCCUCGGCAAGCGUUUGCGACGGUUUGCUUAUUCGCCGCUGGCACGGCCUUCUUCGCCGCUGGUGCCCAUCUCUCCUACGUCAACGUCGAGCCACAGCGUGCUCGCACCAUCGCCCGCGACAAUCUCCUCCGUGAAUACCUCCGCAAUAAGUACGGCUACGGCGAGAAGUAGCUUCUUCUUGUUCCUACAUGAGUUUCUCUCCAAUCGCACAUCCGUGCCAUGCUAGGUCGUUACUACCUGGAUCCAGCGCAAUGGUGGGUACUGGAAGCCCUUGAGGGUCAAUUGUGGGUUAUAUGUGCUAUCUGUAACAUUCAAUUUAAAAGUUAUUUUUUUGUUAGCACGAAGAGAGCAGAGAUCAACUAUUUGCUUCAAGCAUCUUACAUGCUAAUGUAAAUACUGCAGUUGUAGAUGGCCAUUUUUAUUAUCAUUGGAAAUUCAUUAACUUCAUUUCUUUCA